CCUACGGGGGGCUGCAGUGGGGAAUAUUGGGCAAUGGAGGCAACUCUGACCCAGCAACGCCGCGUGAAUGAUGAAGGUCUUCGGCUUGUAAAGUUCUGUGAUGAGAGAUGAACACAAUGACGGUACCCCAAUAGCAAGCCACGGCUAACUACGUGCCAGCAGCCGCGGUAAUACGUAGGUGGCAAGCGUUAUCCGGAAUGACUGGGCGUAAAGGGUGCGUAGGUGGUGUAGUAAGUUGGCGGUGUAAUUCCGGGGCUCAACCGAGGCGCUACCGCCAAAACUAGUAGACUAGAGUGCAGGGGAGGUAAGUGGAAUUCGUGGUGUAGCGGUGGAAUGCGUAGAUAUUAGGAGGAACAUCAGGGGCGAAGGCGACUUACUGGACUGUAACUGACACUGAGGCACGAAAGCGUGGGGAGCAAACAGGAUUAGAUACCCGGGUAGUC
This 443-nucleotide ribosomal RNA is filed under the name uncultured bacterium. RNAcentral describes it as "partial 16S ribosomal RNA". It matches the Rfam family "Bacterial small subunit ribosomal RNA", at positions 338 to 795 of the family's 1533-position model. The record is from RNAcentral.